This 402-nucleotide ribosomal RNA is filed under the name Verrucomicrobiota bacterium. RNAcentral describes it as "Verrucomicrobia bacterium partial 16S ribosomal RNA". It matches the Rfam family "Bacterial small subunit ribosomal RNA", at positions 355 to 776 of the family's 1533-position model. Lineage: Bacteria; Pseudomonadati; Verrucomicrobiota. The record is from RNAcentral.
UGGGGAAUUUUGCACAAUGGGGGAAACCCUGAUGCAGCGACGCCGCGUGAUUUAGAAGGCCUUCGGGUUGUAAAAAUCUUUUGUAUGGGAAGAAAAUGACAGUACCAUACGAAUAAGGACCGGCUAAUUACGUGCCAGCAGCCGCGGUAAUACGUAAGGUCCGAGCGUUGUCCGGAAUCAUUGGGCGUAAAGGGUACGUAGGAGGAUAAGCAAGUUAGAAGUGAAAUCCUAUAGCUCAACUAUAGUAAGCUUUUAAAACUGCUCAUCUUGAGGUAUGGAAGGGAAAGUGGAAUUCCUAGUGUAGCGGUGAAAUGCGCAGAUAUUAGGAGGAAUACCGGUGGCGAAGGCGACUUUCUGGACUUUUACUGACGCUCAGGUACGAAAGCGUGGGGAGCAAACAGG